GACGAACGCUGGCGGCGUGGAUUAGGCAUGCAAGUCGAACGGUAGGAUACCUUCGGGUAUCUGAGAGUGGCGAACGGGUGAGUAACACGUAGGUGAUCUACCCUCAAGAUCGGGACAACCCAGGGAAACUUGGGCUAAUACCGGAUGAAAGCAGCAGUGAUGUUGUUUGAAAGGUGGCGUAAGCUGCCGUUUGGGGAUGAGCCUGCGCUCUAUUAGUUAGUUGGCGGGGUAAAGGCCCACCAAGGCGAUGAUAGAUAGGCGGCCUUAACGGGUGGUCGCCCACACUGGGGUUGAGAUACGGCCCAGACUCCUACGGGAGGCAGCAGUCGAGAAUAGUCUACAAUGGCCGAAAGGCUGAUAGUGCGACGCCGCGUGAACGAAGAAGCCCUUCGGGGUGUAAAGUUCUUUUAUAUGUGAGCAGUGCUUUCUAUGUGAACAGCAUGGGGAGAGAGAUAUUAGCAUAUGAAUAAGCAACGGCUAACUCCGUGCCAGCAGCCGC
Molecule: ribosomal RNA, 499 nt
Filed under: uncultured bacterium
Lineage: Bacteria
Description: bacterial SSU rRNA
Rfam family: Bacterial small subunit ribosomal RNA
Source: RNAcentral